This 347-nucleotide ribosomal RNA is filed under the name uncultured bacterium. RNAcentral describes it as "partial 16S ribosomal RNA". It matches the Rfam family "Bacterial small subunit ribosomal RNA", at positions 338 to 682 of the family's 1533-position model. The record is from RNAcentral.
CCUACAGGGGGCAGCAGUGAGGAAUAGUGGUCAAUGGACGGAAGUCUGAACCAGCCAUGCCGCGUGCAGGAAGACGGCUCUAUGAGUUGUAAACUGCUUUUGUACAAGGGUAAACCUGAAUACGUGUAUUCAGCUGAAAGUACUGUACGAAUAAGGAUCGGCUAACUCCGUGCCAGCAGCCGCGGUAAGACGGAGGAUCCAAGCGUUAUCCGGAUUUAGUGGGGUUAACGGGUGCGUAGGCGGAUUGAUAAGUUAGAGGUGAAAUGUCCGAGCUUAACUCGGGAACUGCCUCUAAUACUGUUGAUCUAGAGCGUAGGUGCGGUAGGCGGAAUGUCUGGUGUAGCGGU